Molecule: long non-coding RNA, 515 nt
Organism: Canis lupus familiaris (dog)
Lineage: Eukaryota; Metazoa; Chordata; Mammalia; Carnivora; Canidae
Exons: 5
Source: RefSeq, a predicted model, not a curated record
UGACAGUUAUAAGCACUCUUCUAUGGCUUAACCUUCAGACAACCCUACAGGUUUGAGAACUAUUUUACAGAAAAGGAAAACGAUGACUUUCGGGCACAUGAAGUAAGAAUACACGGGAAUUUAAAUCAGGUUAAGCAAGUAUACCUCAGAGCUGCUGCAACAGGCAAGCAAUUCCAGAAGGGGUCUCUGCAGUGAUGUCACCUUCACAAAGGCACCAUUCUAGACAGUUUAUAUGAAUUAACUAUUUGGUCCUCAUAGCAACCCACUGAAGAUGGUAAUAUUAUUGACAUUUUACAGAGGUCAACACCAAGUAAAAUGCUACUACUUAUUUUUUAAUGCUAGUGGAUAAAGUCUCCAAGAAAUACUGAUUGUAAACCCUGGUAUCAGGUAACCAUAUAAUGUUAUGGAUCUUAGAGAAGAUAUUCUAAUAUUUUGCUUUUAAGUAUUGUGUUUGUUUUAGAAUUUUCCUAGUUCCCUUUCAUUUGGUUUUGGAAAUUACUCUCUAUCCCUAAGCU